GGGGAAUUUUCCGCAAUGGGCGCAAGCCUGACGGAGCAACGCCGCGUGAGGGAGGAAGGCCUGUGGGUCGUAAACCUCUUUUCUCAAGGAAGAAGUUCUGACGGUACUUGAGGAAUCAGCAUCGGCUAACUCCGUGCCAGCAGCCGCGGUAAGACGGAGGAUGCAAGCGUUAUCCGGAAUUAUUGGGCGUAAAGCGUCCGUAGGUGGUUAAGCAAGUCAGUUGUUAAAGCCCACAGCUCAACUGUGGAUCGGCAAUUGAAACUGCUUGACUUGAGUGUGGUAGGGGUAGAGGGAAUUCCUAGUGUAGCGGUGAAAUGCGUAGAUAUUAGGAAGAACACCAGUGGCGAAGGCGCUCUACUGGGCCAUAACUGACACUGAUGGACGAAAGCUAGGGGAGCGAAAGGGAUUAGAUACCCCAGUAGUC
This 424-nucleotide ribosomal RNA is filed under the name uncultured cyanobacterium. Its description in RNAcentral is "bacterial SSU rRNA". It matches the Rfam family "Bacterial small subunit ribosomal RNA", at positions 356 to 795 of the family's 1533-position model. Lineage: Bacteria; Bacillati; Cyanobacteriota. The record is from RNAcentral.